UUGCCGACAGGAGAUGGCAUUCCUCCUUCAACCGCCCCUGGGGCUGAUGAUGCCUACGCAUGA
This is a non-coding RNA of Pseudomonas aeruginosa, 63 nucleotides long. NCBI's taxonomy places the organism in Bacteria, Pseudomonadati, Pseudomonadota, Gammaproteobacteria, Pseudomonadales, Pseudomonadaceae. The record is from Rfam.